Molecule: ribosomal RNA, 253 nt
Filed under: uncultured bacterium
Lineage: Bacteria
Description: partial 16S ribosomal RNA
Rfam family: Bacterial small subunit ribosomal RNA
Source: RNAcentral
GACGUAGGGCGCGAGCGUUGUCCGGAUUUAUUGGGCGUAAAGAGCUCGUAGGCGGCUUGUCGCGUCGUCCGUGAAAACUUGGGGCUCAACCCCAAGCUUGCGGUCGAUACGGGCAGGCUAGAGUUCGGUAGGGGAGACUGGAAUUCCUGGUGUAGCGGUGAAAUGCGCAGAUAUCAGGAGGAACACCGGUGGCGAAGGCGGGUCUCUGGGCCGAUAUUGACGCUGAGGAGCGAAAGCGUGGGGAGCGAACAGG